This 446-nucleotide ribosomal RNA is filed under the name uncultured bacterium. RNAcentral's name for it is "partial 16S ribosomal RNA". It matches the Rfam family "Bacterial small subunit ribosomal RNA", at positions 338 to 795 of the family's 1533-position model. The record is from RNAcentral.
CCUACGGGUGGCAGCAGUCGAGAAUCAUUCACAAUGGGGGAAACCCUGAUGGUGCGACGCCGCGUGGGGGAAUGAAGGUCUUCGGAUUGUAAACCCCUGUCAUGUGGGAGCAAAUUAAAAAGAUAGUACCACAAGAGGAAGAGACGGCUAACUCUGUGCCAGCAGCCGCGGUAAUACAGAGGUCUCAAGCGUUGUUCGGAAUCACUGGGCGUAAAGCGUGCUUAGGCUGUUUCGUAAGUCGUGUGUGAAAGGGGCGGGCUCAACCCGCGGACGGCACAUGAUACUGCGAGACUAGAGUAAUGGAGGGGGAACCGGAAUUCUCGGGGUAGCAGUGAAAUGCGUAGAUAACGAGAGGAACACUCGUGGCGAAGGCGGGUUCCUGGACAUUAACUGACGCUGAGGCACGAAGGCCAGGGGAGCGAAAGGGAUUAGAUACCCCUGUAGUC